UUUAUUUUAUUUUAUUUUUUUAAAGUAGGCUCUAACUAAUGUUGGAACCUUACUUGCCUGUGUACUUCUAAAUGAGUUUUGUGAGGCCAAGUGAGGUUAUGAAUUCCAGCAAUUUAUUGCCUUCUUGGAAUUUGGGUGCCAUUAGAAUGUUAUAAUCACAUAAAAUUCCAGCAAUGGAACUUCACUGCCUCUUCAAAAGGCCAGUCUGCAUAUUUAGUUAGGAAGUUUAGAUUUGUUUAAUUGUUGGCUUUUUCUGGUCUUCAUUGUAUUUUAUCUUGUUUGUAAACG
This 288-nucleotide unclassified non-coding RNA is filed under the name Hevea brasiliensis (rubber tree). The record is from RNAcentral. Lineage: Eukaryota; Viridiplantae; Streptophyta; Magnoliopsida; Malpighiales; Euphorbiaceae.